AUGGCACACCAACACGACGCGGGGUCCAGUGCUGAGUGUAAAUCCUGUGGUUGCCAGCAUUCUAGCUUUAGUCUGUGCAGAGAUGUACCUGAGCAGUUAAUGUGGAGAAAGAUUAGUGCUGGGGCUACGUUGCUUGAAAUGGGCUCCGUGUGUGUGCUGUGCACUUCAGUACAAAACUUACGCUCUGGAUUGCCCGAAGAGGUUGUGGGUUAACUUUGCUGGGAAUACAGCAGCAUGCGACGUGCUUGGCCGUGGAAACAGAGGCAGUGUGAUCAAAUGUUCUUCCUUAGCCCUACAUUGGUAAUCAUGCAAGUGUUAUGGUUUUGAAGUCCUCUGUUAAAUAAGGAGACUAUGAUGAGCUCAUAACACAAAGGUGGCUCUGCACUUUUUUGAAGAGUUCUGCAGGUCAAGCAUUGAAGGAAGAAACAG
This 429-nucleotide long non-coding RNA is filed under the name Apteryx owenii (little spotted kiwi). Its description in RNAcentral is "lncRNA (ENSAOWG00000001364.1)". Lineage: Eukaryota; Metazoa; Chordata; Aves; Apterygiformes; Apterygidae. The record is from RNAcentral.